Molecule: ribosomal RNA, 508 nt
Filed under: uncultured organism
Description: SSU rRNA
Rfam family: Bacterial small subunit ribosomal RNA
Source: RNAcentral
AUCCUGGCUCAGGAUGAACGCUAGCUACAGGCUUAACACAUGGCAAGGUCGAGGGGGUAACAUGGUGGGAGCUUGCUCCUGCUGAUGACGACCGGCGCACGGGUGAGUAACGCGUAUCCAACCUGCCCCAUGAGUCAGGGAUAACCUUCCGAAAGGGAGCCUAAUACCUGAUGUUGUGCGAUGAUGGCAUCAGAGUUGCACCAAAGAGUUUCGCUCAUGGAUGGGGAUGCGUAGGAUUAGCUUGCCGGCGGGGUAACGGCCCACCGGGGCAACGAUCCUUAGGGGUUCUGAGAGGAAGGUCCCCCCACACUGGUACUGAGACACGGUCCAAACUCCUACGGGAGGCAGCAGUGAGGAAUAUUGGUCAAUGGGCGAGAGCCUGAACCAGCCAAGUAGCGUGCAGGACGACGGCCCUAUGGGUUGUAAACCGCUUUUGCAGGGGAAUAAAGUGGCCCACGUGUGGGUUUUUGCAUGUACCCUGAGAAUAAGGACCGGCUAAUUCCGUGCC